AACGCACAUUGCGCCCCUUGGUAUUCCGAGGGGCAUGCCUGUCCGAGCGUCAUUUCAACCCUCAAGCUCUGCUUGGUAUUGGGCUACGCCAUCGCGGCAAGCCUUAAAAUUAGUGGCGGUGCCGUCUCGGCUCUAAGCGUAGUAACAAUCUCUCGCUCUGGAGACCUGGCGGUGCUUGCCAGACAACCACCAAUUUUUUUUAUGGUUGACCUCGGAUCAGGUAGGGAUACCCGCUGAACUUAA
RNAcentral lists this unclassified non-coding RNA (243 nucleotides) under uncultured Scytalidium. RNAcentral's name for it is "sequence contains ITS2". The stretch from base 1 to 52 matches the Rfam family "5.8S ribosomal RNA", at positions 103 to 154 of the family's 154-position model. The record is from RNAcentral. Lineage: Eukaryota; Fungi; Ascomycota.